This 77-nucleotide transfer RNA is filed under the name Pseudomonadota bacterium. RNAcentral describes it as "Proteobacteria bacterium tRNA-Arg". It matches the Rfam family "tRNA". Rfam says of the family: Transfer RNA (tRNA) molecules are approximately 80 nucleotides in length. The record is from RNAcentral. Lineage: Bacteria; Pseudomonadati; Pseudomonadota.
GUCCCCGUAGCUCAGUAGGAUAGAGCGCAGGAUUCCUAAUCCUGAGGCCGCGCGUUCGAAUCGCGCCGGGGACGCCA